Molecule: non-coding RNA, 28 nt
Filed under: Mus musculus (house mouse)
Lineage: Eukaryota; Metazoa; Chordata; Mammalia; Rodentia; Muridae
Source: RNAcentral
UGCAUUGCAUUUUUGNGUGUGUUCAGGG